CCUACGGGAGGCAGCAGUGAGGAAUAUUGGUCAAUGGGCGCGAGCCUGAACCAGCCAAGUAGCGUGAGGGAUGACUGCCCUAUGGGUUGUAAACUUCUUUUAUAAAGGAAUAAAGUGAGGCACGUGUGCUUUUUUGUAUGUACUUUAUGAAUAAGGAUCGGCUAACUCCGUGCCAGCAGCCGCGGUAAUACGGAGGAUCCGAGCGUUAUCCGGAUUUAUUGGGUUUAAAGGGCUCGUAGAGGGGUUUUUAAGUCAGUUGUGAAAGUUUGCGGCUCAAACGUAACAUUGCAAUUGAAACUGGCAGGCUUGAGGACAGUUGAGGUAGGCGGAAUUCGUGGGGGAGUGGGGAAAUGCUUAGAUAUCA
RNAcentral lists this ribosomal RNA (364 nucleotides) under uncultured bacterium. RNAcentral describes it as "partial 16S ribosomal RNA". It matches the Rfam family "Bacterial small subunit ribosomal RNA", at positions 338 to 699 of the family's 1533-position model. The record is from RNAcentral.